AUCACAACAGUAGCCUGCCGUAUGCAGGAAGAAGUUGCUGUAAAUGUGCCCCACGUUAGAUCUGCUGCUCUUUCUACGUAUUGUAAGUUUAGGAAUGUCUGCAUUUCAGUGGACGACAAAUUUGGGAUUCUGCCACAGCUUAAAUUCAACGUAAUGGAUGGCUUUUCCCCAAUCCUGCAAUACAUUCUGAGAGAACGGACUCUUGUAAGUCCAAGUGUCCAGGGCCCAACUGCAGAAAAAAAGCAUUCAGGCAGAAGGCCUGUUCUGUGGGAAGAAAAAAAAAAAACAAAAACAAAAAACAAAAAACACAAGUGUUUGUAACAGGGCCGUGGCAGAUACUUGAAUGAGUAAGCCUGGUAUAAUAAGCUCAUCCAAAUCAGGAUGGAAAAUCAUAUGUAGUAUAACACUAAUCAUUAAAGCUAUUGCAUCUUUAAUGGGUUUGUUUCUAAAUACUGCUAUGAAAUCUCUUACAGAUUUUUUUUUUCAGUGUUAAUUUUUUCCAUCUUCAGUGCAGUCGCUGUGCUAUUAGCGCCAUUUGUGCUACAAGCUGUUUACACUAAAGCCUCGAAGCGUAGUUGGUAGUGUUACUAUUUUUAACAUUUUAUCAUGCUGGGGAAUCCGAAUCUGAUAGGUACCCGGCCAUUUUUCUGUCUGAAUGCCUGGUCCCGUGUUUGCCCUGGCUUCCUUGAAGCUGUCGGGCAGCUGGGGUGGAGGCAUGAAACACCUGCCCUGCAGCAGCCGUGGGGUUUUGCAUCGCAGGCAGGAGCAAGGCAUUGAUCGCAGCGUCUGGGCUCCCUACCAAACAUGCAGUGCCUUCCGUGCCACAGGUGAAAUAAGUAUACCAUAAAGGUAUUUAAUUAAUUUGCUGUUAAUUGUCUGAAAAGAAGAUUAGGAUGCUGCUGAACAAGAUAGGAGAAGCCUACGUGCUGCUGUUUUAUUGGAUUGCUGGCAACAGCCCUCCACUUUGGUCUUAACGCUGCAACAGUACAUCAUGCUUUACUAAUUAUUGUCUCAUUUGCAUAUCGAGUGGAAUUCCCUGUUAUAGAAAUUGGUGAAACACUCUUCAACUAUUUAUGUUGAUAAUUAAGUGUUGAGGUGCCUGGACUUUAAGCUGCAAUUGUAAUCAGAACUACUUACAGCUCACAGUAAACUGCACUAAUUAUAGCCAAGGUAUCAAAUUUUUAAUAGCUGCUUGGAUAAGUCUUUUUUUCUCUCUUAUUUCAUAGCUUUAUCAGACAAAAUUACAAAUGGUGAAAUAAAUUAACUAGUUCUGUCUUAAAAGCUUCCA
RNAcentral lists this long non-coding RNA (1288 nucleotides) under Anas platyrhynchos platyrhynchos (common mallard). RNAcentral's name for it is "lncRNA (ENSAPLG00000021675.1)". The record is from RNAcentral. Lineage: Eukaryota; Metazoa; Chordata; Aves; Anseriformes; Anatidae.